Molecule: long non-coding RNA, 4391 nt
Organism: Oncorhynchus kisutch (coho salmon)
Lineage: Eukaryota; Metazoa; Chordata; Actinopteri; Salmoniformes; Salmonidae
Source: Ensembl
CACAAUCAAUAGGAUAAAAGCACAAAAUAGCAGGCAAAUAAGGAGGUCUAGGAAUGAAGCUAUGUAGGGUCUGAACCUUCAGGAACAUAGCAUACGCCGACCGCCUUUCAAUUAUGAGUUUCCAGACAGAUAAAAUGCCACAACAUGUGUGGAGGGAAGUUGUGCUGAAAAUUGAAAAGGACCAUUGCCACCGGUUGAAGGUAAAUUUCACCUGUAGCACAUGAAAUGAACAUGUUUAAUUAUCUGGUUGCCUACGAAAAUGUUUGAUGGGAAACACAAGUCCUCUGUUCAAACACAAGCCAUGGAAAUUAAUAAGAAGGGGUUGGCCCACUAUUGCUAAAAAUGUGUCAAAAACAAAAAUGGCCUGCCCUCAUACAGACAUUAUUCCCUUUAGUCUCCUGGACAGCUGUCUCCUGAGACACCAGUUGUAACAGUGCUUCCAAUGACUGGUCGAACCAAGAGCCCUGGUAUAGGCAGCCACAGAACAGGGAACACUACCAUAGAAGAAUACCGUAGAGCACUACAGCCAGACAACUUCAGCAAAGACAACAUUCUCAGCACAGAGAGAAGGAAAAACGCCAAAACAGUCCGAAUAGACAACUGCCAAAGUGAAAGGACAGACAUCAGGACUGGCAUCUCUGUGAGAGACAAUAUUAGCACAGACAAGUUGGGCCACCUAAGCUACAGGGCAGAUGCCCUAAGAGAAGAUACUCACUUUAGAAAUGAUUGUAAGCAGCUCAGAAUGGACCAACUUCGGACAGUCCACCCCAAAGCAGACAGCAUUGGGAUAAAUCUGGGUAGAGACCUCCAUAGGACAGACAUUGGGUCAAAGGACCUGGAGACCAACAUCAUUGGGACAUCACCAUCCCAGUCCAAUGUUUUGCACCCGUGGCAGGUUUGGGACAGAGUUGCCAGAUAUCAGUCGAGGUCCUUGCUCUGUGAGGUUGGCACACAGACAUACCUGACUGCCUUAGCCCAGAGUCCUCACUCCAUCCCAGGCCCUGACACUGAACCUAUCAUGGUGUUUAGGGCCCAGAGGGAAAGUGCGAUGGAAAGGAGCCAGCAGAGCAGCAUUCGGCAGCAGCACCAACCCAUGGCCACCUCACAUCAGGUGGUCCUGCAGAAAGACAUAGGGCCUUACUGCUCCUCCCGUGAUGCUGCCACUCAGACCUAUAUCUGUGCCCUUACCCACACACCUGCACUGAAAACAGGGGAGGCAGGUGGGUGUCAAACAUCAGGGGUACACUUUACAUUUCAAUGAGAUUAAAUACAAGUUAGAAGGUUGAUUUGUCCUCCAUUGAGGGUGUGUGAGCCUUUUAUUAUCCUGUGUCUUCAUUCAGAAGACGAAACAGUCUUACCUACAGAGAAUGGAGAGGGAGUGGAAGUCUGAUUGGCUUGUCGAUUGGUCAUGGAGAUUGUUUAACAAUCUUAACUGUGUAGAUUACUGUAUGUUUGUCAGUUAACCAGCUAGCAGUAUACCUGUUUAUUGUCAGUGUGCCAGUCCUUAUUACUUUUAAGCAGAGUUACUUGCUCGGAAAACAGCGGGUGCACUGUUAAUUAAUAAGGAUCAUAUUCCAACCAGCCUUGCAUUUUUUGUUUGGUUGAGUGCUAGGAAAUUAUAAUAAUGUCUAUGAACCGUGUAAUCUGUUUAUAAUGCGACAUAGACUGCCUGUAUUCUAUUAGCAUAGGCAAGGGUCCGCAUGUCUCCCAGCCAUAACAUUUCGGAAGAGUUCAUGCAUAUAUUAUGAUAGAAUUUUAAGUUUUUGUCAGUUUGGACUUCGGUAGUUUUUUUUCGGGUGUUCGUGCACACUACAUUUUUGCUCAAGGCCAGGCUAAAUUCAGCAGUUGAAGUGUACGUGAUUGGUCAACAGCUGUAGGGAUUCUUCAAUUAAGUAUUAGUUGGCAUUCAUUAAAACAUUUCAUUGCGAAAUACUGCACCAAACAUCUUAGUUCGAUGUAAAAUUGCUCGGCUAGCUGAAUCGAACGAGUGUGCUUGCAUACUCCCUUAAAAUACACUCGCUUGAAAUACGAGAAAAAAAGGGGCAAUAGUGCUGUUUGUCCAUUUUGAGAAACAUUAACCAGCAUACGUUUCCUCAAAAUAGUCCGAAUGAAUCUAAAAUAUCUCAAGAAAUCUGUCAUUCAUUUUGUGUGCGACGAAGGAAUGUAGACUUCGGAUCAGAACUUUGGCUUGCCUCUAGAAAACAUUUUGUGUGCCCGAACAGCGGAAAAAUCCUCACCAAAUCCAAAAACAACCAACUUCACAAACCUUACGUCAUAAUAUAUACAGGAGCUAUUUCGGCUGGGAAGCACGCAGACGCCUUUAUAUUAGAUCUCUGUAAAAAUGUAUGACAUAUUUCUUGAGUUAUCAUAGAUGAAUUCUGACUAUUUUGAGGAAGUGUAUACUGCCGGCGGCGUCUCAAAAUGGACAAACAGUACUAUUUCCGAUUUUGUUGUCGUUUUUCAAACAAAGGUAUUUUAAAGUAUGAGAGCACAGCCGAACUGAAGCAUGCUGAUGCCUUUAGGGCGGCCGCAUGCUUCCCAACCUAAACACUUCGUGCAUAUAUUAUUGCAUUUCUAUUUAUGUGAUAUGACAAUUUAGUCAUGUCCAGUUAGUAGUGUAAUUACUCAAUUCUGUGUUAAUAUUUGUGAUAGGUGAUACCCAAACGAUUCUAGAUUUCCAUAUAUUGUGAGAAAUGGAUAAAAGUGUUCUUCCUCUUCUAUUCAUGUUUGAACCAGUGAAGAGGGCCAGUGUGAUAAAAGCAGUAGGACAGCCCAUUCGACUCCACAGACUGUGUCCUGUAGAGGAAUCCUCUGAGCAUUGCAGGGGCCAGCUGAGGGUGAUUGGGGAUGAGGUGAACAGCAUGUUCUCCAAGGGAAAGGUGUGUAAGUUCAAUGGGGUAGGAGGGGAGAAAGAGAACAAUAGGUCAAUAGAGGGAUAACAAUCAAGAAGAAAGAUAAUGUGUCAUACUAGGCCAGGAUACUGUUAAAGGACUUUGAGACAACUGCUGAUGUAAAAAGGUCUUUAUACAUUUGAUUGCUUGAUGUACUCCCCUCAUAGAGAUUCCUAAUACAAUCUGUCAUUCAUUCACACCUGAUGUUCUCUGUGUGUGUGUGUGUGUGUGUAUUAGGUGGGGUCCACACAUUGGCAGACCUGGAGGGGAGGAAUCAUCACGUGCCUGUUCACUGUCCUCAGUGGCAUUGGAUCUCUCUACCUGCUCCAGUACAGAAACCUUAGGACAUCCUAGAGACCCACUGACCCACGGCGUCACACCGCACUUGACCUUUGACCUUUCUUAAUACAUUUCUAUCCAUUCCUACAGAAUGUCAUAAGGCAUUUAUGAUUUUAUUUAUUUGAUUGUUUAUUGAUUUAGUUGACAUUGCACAAUAUGUCAUAUAGAGUAGAAUAUUUGCACUUUCUGUUCCUUUACUUGACAAUGUAGGCUGACUAUUUUGAGGGGCUAGUUGACAGUGCUUACUGUGGAAAUGGCUCCACCUAGUGGUGUUGGAUGGUGUCUGAAGCUACUUAUUUAAUAGCGCCAAAAUCAUAUUGCUGUAGAGAAAUGUGUGCUGUAUCUCCACUCAGGAUUUUGGUAGCUUUAGACACCAUCAACAUCCACGGGAUUACACAAUUGUUUAACUCUUUAAUGAUUUAAUAAUUUAUUUCAAUCAUACUGUGAUUUCAGUGGAAUAUACAGUCACAUCCCAAAUUAUUUGCACCCUUGAUAAAGAUGAGCAAAAAAAUAAAUGUAUAUUUGUUUAUACAUGCACAAUUGCUAAAAGAAAAAGUAAUACAAAAAAGUUUUAAAAUAAUUUAAAAAAAGAUGUCAAUGAUUGGCACCGCUGUUUUCAAUACCUUGUGGACCGUUCCCUUGUGAGGAUAAUGGCACUGAGGAUUUUUUAUAAUGUUUUAUGAGAUUGGAGAACACAUUGGGAGAGAUCUUAGAACAUUCCUCCAUACAGAAUCUUUCCAGAUCCUUUAUAUUCUUCGGUCUGCGCUUAUGCACUGCCCUCUUCAAUUCAAACCACAGGUUUCCAAAUGGGGUUCAUGUCCGGAGACUGAGGUGGCCAUUGCAAAAUGUUGAUUUUGUGGUCAAUUAACCAUUUUAUUUGUGGAUGUACAGUGCAUUCAGAAAGUAUUCAGACCCCUUGACUUUUUCCACACUUUGUUAUGUUAUUCAGUUUUUUUCCCCUCAUCAAUCUAUACACAAUAUCCCAUAAUGACAAAGCAAAAACAGUUUUUUCUAGAAAUAUCACAUUUACAUAAGUAUUCAGACCCUUUGUACUCAGUACUUUGUUGAAGCACCUUUGGCAGCGAUUACAGCCUUGAGUCUUUGGUAUGAUGCUACAAUCUUGGCACACCUUUAUUUGGGGAGUUACUCCCAUUCUUCUCU